GAUCGAUAUUUUCUAUACGAGAUCGUCCGCAUAUUAAUCGAAGGAUAUAUCACUAUUACGGCACGAUACGAAUUUAUCACCACCCUGUAUAUCAUUGCUCAUCUCGCCGCACAUAAUGUACGCCGGCAAAGCGAGAUGAAAGGCACUCUGCUUAUCAAAACAAAAGGCUUGUACCGAAGUGUUUAUCGCGGGCGAGUUGCUUAGCUUGCUGUCUGGCUGGCUGUCCGUCAACCGUCAGGGAAAUGAAAUGCAACGAAAUAAGAAGAAUGUCGGCUCGCUUUUUCUCUCUCUUUCUCGCCCGCAGGACUCUUCAGUCUCGGGUCGGCUUACGUCGUUGACCAUAAGAAAGAAAAGGAAGAGCAAAGCGCUAAGGAUGGCUACAGUUCGUCGAGACAAAAGCUUUUUGUCUCGAGCCUACCUAGCCGCGUGUCAGAAUUUUCGCACUCUUUCAUUAAUAAAUAAUGUAUACAAGAAUUAGUAUUGGUACGCCAAUUUAUUACGCUAAUUUAUACGUGAGCGUUACAAACAAAUGAAGAGAAACCGUCGUUAACCAGGCUUUUUGGAGAGAAUGUAUUGUCUGAUAUACUACGCAACGGCCAAUUAAAAUACAUUACUGUUCUAACGAGCCGAAUGAGAUGCAUAAGUUACGCAUGCUCAAUUGAUAAUGACGUUUUACGCGUGUGUGCGAACGACAGAUCUCUCGCCUCUAAUACAGCAAAAACGUUACACUUGCAAAAUUUUAUCAAGCGCUAAGAUAGACUCAAUUAUCAUUAUCAGUAUUUCUCACCUCGUUAUUAUCUUAUGAAAAAUCGAGGACCGAGAAGAAGCAUAAUUUUUGAAGAGUUUUAAUAAACAAAUCAAUUACAUGAGAUUUACAAUUCCGGAAAUUUUAAUAUCAAUAACAUGCUAUUGUUGAGGAUUUAUCUAAACAAGCCAACUCUGCCUCAUACAGGAAUGGAUAUUGAGUCUUCCACGAACUUAAAUAAGUUAAUAAUUGAUAAUUGAGAAACUGAAACUUAAGUCUAGCCGAAAAUAUUAAACUCUCAACAUGAUUGACGCAGCACAAUCCUGAUUCUACUCUCGUCAAAAAUCUUUCGUAAGGAACAUAAGGAAAAAAAGGAAGAAAAAGCAAAAUUAUUUCUUCGUGAUAAGUCUAAUUGAGUAAAAUUGA
Long non-coding RNA from Cataglyphis hispanica, 1171 nucleotides. RefSeq lists it as uncharacterized. NCBI's taxonomy places the organism in Eukaryota, Metazoa, Arthropoda, Insecta, Hymenoptera, Formicidae. The record is from RefSeq and is a predicted model, not a curated record. The transcript has 4 exons.